This 487-nucleotide ribosomal RNA is filed under the name uncultured bacterium. RNAcentral describes it as "bacterial SSU rRNA". It matches the Rfam family "Bacterial small subunit ribosomal RNA", at positions 28 to 507 of the family's 1533-position model. The record is from RNAcentral.
GAUGAACGCUAGCGACAGGCUUAACACAUGCAAGUCGAGGGGCAGCGAGAAAGUGCUUGCACUUUUGUCGGCGACCGGCGCACGGGUGAGUAACACGUAUGCAACCUGCCCUUGUCAGGGGGAUAAGCGGGGGAAACCCCGUCUAAUACCGCAUAUAUGAUUUGGAGGCAUCUUUAAAUCAGGAAAGAAUUAUCGGACAAGGAUGGGCAUGCGGGACAUUAGGUAGUUGGGGGUGUAACGGACCACCAAGCCGACGAUGUCUAGGGGUUCUGAGAGGAAGGUCCCCCACACUGGUACUGAGACACGGACCAGACUCCUACGGGAGGCAGCAGUGAGGAAUAUUGGUCAAUGGGCGGGAGCCUGAACCAGCCAAGUCGCGUGAGGGAAGACGGCCUACGGGUUGUAAACCUCUUUAGUCGGGGAGCAAAAAGACGCUACGUGUAGCGUUCUGCAUGUACCUUACGAAUAAGCAUCGGCUAAUUCCGUG